This is a long non-coding RNA of Marmota monax (woodchuck), 668 nucleotides long. RefSeq lists it as uncharacterized. The transcript is spliced from 2 exons. The record is from RefSeq and is a predicted model, not a curated record. Lineage: Eukaryota; Metazoa; Chordata; Mammalia; Rodentia; Sciuridae.
UUGCAGCUCCCGAGUGGCGGGGAACGUCAGGGCGGGACAGGGCGGGACCAGGCGGGGACCGCCGCCCUCACCGUGUCGUCCCGGCGCUUCUGCCCGCUCCCGGGAGCCCCGCAGGCAAAGCCUCUCGUGGGGCGCCGGCGCCCCCUGGCGCCAGCGGCAGGAGUUGCGCUGCAGGGUUGGCAAUGCCAGUCCCAGCCCCCGGGGACCGAGUCCUGCUCGCUUACCCGGGGGCCCCAGGACACUGAUUCGUAGUACUUCUUUAGACCACUCUUGGUUCUCUAGUCUCUCCAAUGAACUAAUGAUGCCGGGUGAGCGCCGGGCCCAAGACCACAGGAAGUGGGCCGCACAGCUGUCCCAGUGCCUGUCGCAGCGCAGGGCACACACUCGGUGCUCAGUACUUAGAAUCAAGAGAGAUGAACAGACUGACAAAGAAAUGAGUUGCUGGCUCAAGGUCAUGCUGCUAAUUAGUGAUCCUGGAGAAAAUGACACCUGUGGAUGAGACUGUGAAGGAAGGCGAAUCAGAUGGGUCAAAACUCUUCUCAGAGGCCACCCAGAAGUCAGAGAGAAAGAAGAGCAAGUACUUCUAACUUUGCAAGGAAAAGAACUAAGAACCCAGAAUUCCAGAUUCCAAUCGUGAGAAUAAAAGAACAAAAGAGAUUUUCAAAUGA